Molecule: ribosomal RNA, 118 nt
Organism: Lepisosteus oculatus (spotted gar)
Lineage: Eukaryota; Metazoa; Chordata; Actinopteri; Semionotiformes; Lepisosteidae
Source: Ensembl
GCCAGCAGCCAUAUUACUCUGCAACUCACAACUGGCAACCCACUGAAGCUCAGCAGGUGUGAGCCUGGUCAGUACCUUGAUGGGAGACCACCUGGGAAAAACUAGGUUGCUGCUGUUA